UACGUAGGGAGCAAGCGUUGUCCGGAAUCAUUGGGCGUAAAGCGCGCGUAGGCGGCCCUGUAAGUCCGUUGUGAAAGUCAAAGGCUCAACCUUUGAAAGCCGAUGGAUACUGCAGGGCUAGAGUCCGGAAGAGGCGAGUGGAAUUCCUGGUGUAGCGGUGGAAUGCGCAGAUAUCAGGAGGAACACCAAUAGCGAAGGCAGCUCGCUGGGACGGUACUGACGCUGAGACGCGAAAGCGUGGGGAGCAAACAGG
This 253-nucleotide ribosomal RNA is filed under the name uncultured bacterium. RNAcentral describes it as "partial 16S ribosomal RNA". It matches the Rfam family "Bacterial small subunit ribosomal RNA", at positions 524 to 776 of the family's 1533-position model. The record is from RNAcentral.